GAUGAAGAACGUAGCGAAAUGCGAUAAGUAAUGUGAAUUGCAGAAUUCAGUGAAUCAUCGAAUCUUUGAACGCACCUUGCGCCCUUUGGCUAUUCCGAAGGGCAUGCCUGUUUGAGUAUCAUGAACACCUUAACUCUCAUGGUUUGCCAUGAUGAGCUUGGACUUUGGGGGUCUUGCCGGCCUAUGGGUCGGCUCCUCUCAAAUUAAUCAGCUUGCCAGUGUUUGGUGGCAUCACAGGUGUGAUAACUAUCUACGCUUGUGGUUUUCCAUCAGGUAACCUUCAGUGAUGGAGGUUCGCUGGGGCUCAUAAAUGUCUCUCCUCAGUGAGGACAGCUUUUUUGAACGUUUGAUCUCAAAUCAGGUAGGACUACCCGCUGAACUUAAGCAUAUCAAUAAGCGGAGGA
This 404-nucleotide unclassified non-coding RNA is filed under the name soil metagenome. RNAcentral describes it as "partial contains 5.8S ribosomal RNA, internal transcribed spacer 2, and large subunit ribosomal RNA". The stretch from base 1 to 121 matches the Rfam family "5.8S ribosomal RNA", at positions 35 to 154 of the family's 154-position model. The record is from RNAcentral.